UACGUAGGGACCGAGCGUUGUCCGGAAUCAUUGGGCGUAAAGAGCGUGUAGGCGGCCACUUAAGUCCUGCGUGAAAUCCUGCGGCUCAACCGCAGGCGGUCGUGGGAAACUGGGUGGCUAGAGUGCGGGAGAGGAGAGUGGAAUUCCUGGUGUAGCGGUGGUAUGCGCAGAUAUCAGGAAGAACACCCGUGGCGAAGGCGGCUCUCUGGAACGCAACUGACGCUGAGACGCGAAAGCGUGGGGAGCAAACAGG
RNAcentral lists this ribosomal RNA (253 nucleotides) under uncultured bacterium. Its description in RNAcentral is "partial 16S ribosomal RNA". It matches the Rfam family "Bacterial small subunit ribosomal RNA", at positions 524 to 776 of the family's 1533-position model. The record is from RNAcentral.